RNAcentral lists this transfer RNA (73 nucleotides) under Phrynosoma platyrhinos (Desert horned lizard). Its description in RNAcentral is "tRNA-OTHER". It matches the Rfam family "tRNA". From Rfam's summary of the family: Transfer RNA (tRNA) molecules are approximately 80 nucleotides in length. Lineage: Eukaryota; Metazoa; Chordata; Lepidosauria; Squamata; Phrynosomatidae. The record is from RNAcentral.
GGCUCUGUAGCGCAAUGGAUAGCACAUUGGAGUUCUAAUUCAAAGGUUGUGGGUUCGGGUCCCACCAGAGUCG